RNAcentral lists this ribosomal RNA (204 nucleotides) under uncultured bacterium. RNAcentral's name for it is "partial 16S ribosomal RNA". It matches the Rfam family "Bacterial small subunit ribosomal RNA", at positions 1297 to 1500 of the family's 1533-position model. The record is from RNAcentral.
AUUGAAGGCUGAAAUUCGCCUACAUGAAGCUGGAAUUGCUAGUAAUGGCAGGUCAGCAUACUACCGUGAAUACGUUCCCGGGCCUUGUACACACCGCCCGUCACACCAUGAGAGUUGGGGAUACCCGAAGCCUGCGAGCCAACUGUAAAGAGGCAGCAGUCGAAGGUAGAAUCAAUGAUUGGGGUGAAGUCGUAACAAGGUAAC